Etheostoma cragini (Arkansas darter) is the source of this 130-nucleotide long non-coding RNA. RefSeq lists it as uncharacterized. The record is from RefSeq and is a predicted model, not a curated record. NCBI's taxonomy places the organism in Eukaryota, Metazoa, Chordata, Actinopteri, Perciformes, Percidae. The transcript is spliced from 5 exons.
CCUCUGGGACUUUUCUCCUUUCUCUUGUCUCCUUUGUAUUGUCUUUACUGCAUGGACUGCUUUAAUGCCUUUGCCACCAUCUAUGCUUGCUUGUUUGUGCCUGCUUCAGUUGGGUUUCACAUGUUUGUAU